GACGAACGCUGGCGGCGUGCCUAAUACAUGCAAGUCGAACGAACCGCGACUAGGUGCUUGCACUUGGUCAAGGUGAGUGGCGAACGGGUGAGUAACACGUGGGUAACCUACCUCAUAGUGGGGGAUAACAGUCGGAAACGACUGCUAAUACCGCAUAGGACAUAGGAUCACAUGAUUCUGUGAGGAAAGGUGGCGCAAGCUAUCGCUAAGAGAUGGACCCGCGGUGCAUUAGCUAGUUGGUAGGGUAAAGGCCUACCAAGGCGAUGAUGCAUAGCCGACCUGAGAGAGUGAUCGGCCACAUUGGGACUGAGACACGGCCCAAACUCCUACGGGAGGCAGCAGUAGGGAAUCUUCCGCAAUGGACGCAAGUCUGACGGAGCAACGCCGCGUGAGUGAAGAAGGUCUUCGGAUCGUAAAGCUCUGUUGUUAGAGAAGAACAGCGCAUAGAGUAACUGUUAUGCGUGGGACGGUAUCUAACCAGAAAGCCACGGCUAACUACGG
RNAcentral lists this ribosomal RNA (501 nucleotides) under uncultured bacterium. RNAcentral's name for it is "partial 16S ribosomal RNA". It matches the Rfam family "Bacterial small subunit ribosomal RNA", at positions 28 to 506 of the family's 1533-position model. The record is from RNAcentral.